GAGCCGGGGCGGACGGUCGCUGCGGCCCUGCCGCGAGGCGGGGCCGGGGAGGAAAGUCCGGACUCCGCAGGGCGGGAUGUCCCCUGGAAACGGGGGAGGCCCUUCGCGAUAUCGAAGGGUACGGAAAGCGCCACAGAAAAGAUACCGCCCUGAAGUGGUGCGAUGCACCUACUUCAGGGUAAGGGUGAAAUGGCGGUGUAAGAGACCACCGCCCCGGUGGAGACGCCGGGGGCAGGGCAAGCCCCAUCCGGAGCAAGAUCGCAUAGGGAGCGAGAGGCGGCCCGCCUCGUUCGUCCCGGGCAACCGGGGCGGUAAGCUCCGGGUUGAUCGCGCAGAUAAAUGACCGUACACCCCGCCGGCGACGGCGGGGGGACAGAAUCCGGCUUACAGCCCCGGCUCCAUG
This 403-nucleotide RNase P RNA is filed under the name Kiritimatiellia bacterium. RNAcentral describes it as "Kiritimatiellae bacterium (wastewater metagenome) RNase P RNA component class A". It matches the Rfam family "Bacterial RNase P class A". Rfam says of the family: Ribonuclease P (RNase P) is a ubiquitous endoribonuclease, found in archaea, bacteria and eukarya as well as chloroplasts and mitochondria. Its best characterised activity is the generation of mature 5'-ends of tRNAs by cleaving the 5'-leader elements of precursor-tRNAs. Lineage: Bacteria; Pseudomonadati; Kiritimatiellota; Kiritimatiellia. The record is from RNAcentral.